RNAcentral lists this ribosomal RNA (219 nucleotides) under uncultured prokaryote. RNAcentral's name for it is "partial 16S ribosomal RNA". It matches the Rfam family "Bacterial small subunit ribosomal RNA", at positions 524 to 742 of the family's 1533-position model. The record is from RNAcentral.
UACAGAGGUCCCGAGCGUUGUUCGGAUUCAUUGAGCGUAAAGGGUGCGUAGGCGGUGAGGUAAGUCUGAUGUGAAAUCCCGGGGCUCAACCCCGGAACUGCAUUGGAUACUGCUUUACUUGAGUACUGGAGAGGAGACUGGAAUUUACGGUGUAGCAGUGAAAUGCGUAGAGAUCGUAAGGAAGGCCAGUGGCGAAGGCGAGUCUCUGGACAGUAACUG